UACGGAGGGUGCAAGCGUUAUCCGGAUUCACUGGGCUUAAAGGGCGCGUAGGCGGGAUAGCAAGUCGGUCGUGAAAUCUCUCGGCUCAACCGAGAAACGUCGGCUGAUACUGCCGUUCUUGAGGGAUGCAGAGGAGACUGGAAUUCCCGGUGUAGCGGUGAAAUGUGUAGAGAUCGGGAGGAACACCGGUGGCGAAGGCGGGUCUCUGGGCAUUUCCUGACGCUGAGGCGCGAAAGCGUGGGGAGCAAACGGG
RNAcentral lists this ribosomal RNA (253 nucleotides) under uncultured bacterium. Its description in RNAcentral is "partial 16S ribosomal RNA". It matches the Rfam family "Bacterial small subunit ribosomal RNA", at positions 524 to 776 of the family's 1533-position model. The record is from RNAcentral.